RNAcentral lists this ribosomal RNA (440 nucleotides) under uncultured bacterium. Its description in RNAcentral is "partial 16S ribosomal RNA". It matches the Rfam family "Bacterial small subunit ribosomal RNA", at positions 338 to 795 of the family's 1533-position model. The record is from RNAcentral.
CCUACGGGAGGCAGCAGUGGGGAAUAUUGCACAAUGGGGGAAACCCUGAUGCAGCGACGCCGCGUGAGUGAAGAAGUAUUUCGGUAUGUAAAGCUCUAUCAGCAGGGAAGAAAAUGACGGUACCUGAUUAAGAAGCCCCGGCUAACUACGUGCCAGCAGCCGCGGUAAUACGUAGGGGGCAAGCGUUAUCCGGAUUUACUGGGUGUAAAGGGGGCGUAGACGGCAGCACAAGUCUGGAGGGAAAUGCCGGGGCUUAACCCCGGAACUGCUUUGGAAACUGUGCAGCUAGAGUGCAGGAGAGGUAAGUGGAAUUCCUGGUGUAGCGGUGAAAUGCGUAGAUAUUAGGAGGAACACCAGUGGCGAAGGCGGCUUACUGGACUGUAACUGACGUUGAGGCUCGAAAGCGUGGGGAGCAAACAGGAUUAGAUACCCUUGUAGUC